AAACACAUCGACCUCA
Molecule: ribosomal RNA, 16 nt
Filed under: Aceria tosichella (wheat curl mite)
Lineage: Eukaryota; Metazoa; Arthropoda; Arachnida; Trombidiformes; Eriophyidae
Description: partial 28S ribosomal RNA
Source: RNAcentral